UACGUAGGGUGCGAGCGUUAAUCGGAAUUACUGGGCGUAAAGCGUGCGCAGGCGGUUUUGUAAGCCAGGUGUGAAAUCCCCGGGCUCAACCUGGGAAUGGCAUUUGGGACUGCAAGGCUGGAGUGCGGCAGAGGAGACUGGAAUUCCUGGUGUAGCAGUGAAAUGCGUAGAUAUCAGGAGGAAUACCGAUGGCGAAGGCAGGUCUCUGGGCUGACACUGACGCUCAUGCACGAAAGCGUGGGAGCAAACAGG
RNAcentral lists this ribosomal RNA (252 nucleotides) under uncultured bacterium. Its description in RNAcentral is "partial 16S ribosomal RNA". It matches the Rfam family "Bacterial small subunit ribosomal RNA", at positions 524 to 776 of the family's 1533-position model. The record is from RNAcentral.